This 452-nucleotide ribosomal RNA is filed under the name uncultured bacterium. RNAcentral describes it as "bacterial SSU rRNA". It matches the Rfam family "Bacterial small subunit ribosomal RNA", at positions 28 to 493 of the family's 1533-position model. The record is from RNAcentral.
GACGAACGCUGGCGGCGCGCCUAACACAUGCAAGUCGAACGAGAGAGAAGGAGCUUGCUUCUUCGAUCGAGUGGCGAACGGGUGAGUAACGCGUGAGGAACCUGCCUCAAAGAGGGGGACAACAGUUGGAAACGACUGCUAAUACCGCAUAAGCCCACGGAUCGGCAUCGACCUGAGGGAAAAGGAGCAAUCCGCUUUGAGAUGGCCUCGCGUCCGAUUAGCUAGUUGGUGAGGUAACGGCCCACCAAGGCGACGAUCGGUAGCCGGACUGAGAGGUUGAACGGCCACAUUGGGACUGAGACACGGCCCAGACUCCUACGGGAGGCAGCAGUGGGGAAUAUUGCACAAUGGGGGAAACCCUGAUGCAGCGACGCCGCGUGGAGGAAGAAGGUCUUCGGAUUGUAAACUCCUGUUGUUGAGGAAGAUAAUGACGGUACUCAACAAGGAAGUGA